This is a long non-coding RNA of Sapajus apella (tufted capuchin), 4508 nucleotides long. RefSeq lists it as uncharacterized. The transcript has 2 exons. The record is from RefSeq and is a predicted model, not a curated record. NCBI's taxonomy places the organism in Eukaryota, Metazoa, Chordata, Mammalia, Primates, Cebidae.
UGUUACAGUUAUCAAGUUGCCUAUUGUUUUCCAGCCAUUAAAAAAUGAACAAACCAUUCUUAGCUUGCAGGCUGUAUGAAAACAUGUAGUGAGCUGGAGUUGGCCUGUGAGCCAUAGUUUGCCCAUUCCUGCUCUAGAGACAAACUGGGUGGGUUCAAAGGCCAGCUUAGCCACUUACUAGCUGUGUGACAUUGGGAAAGUCACUUAACCUCCUUGAUGAUCACUUUCUUUAUCUGUUAAAUGGAAGUUGUAACUACCUUUCUCAUGGUGAUACUGUAAGGAUUACACAUGUAUACGACACUUAGAAGAAUACUUGGCGUAUCGCUAACAUUUAAUAGUGGUUAUUGCUGUUGCCAUAAAUUUGUAGCUGGGAAUUUGGGGGCUGCAUAAAUGAGAACUUGGUUGGGAUAGAAGUUUUGCUUUUUUUUUUUUUUUUUUGCCAUGAGGUUUAAGAGGGAAGGGAUCUUUGAGCACAAGGCCCAAGUCAUUUCUAGGCUCAAGAUUCAUUCAUUAAUUCACCUGUUCACAGACAUAUAUUGAGGGUUUACUAUGCCAGGAACUGAUAAGGAUUGACGAUGUAGCAGAGCAUAAAACAGGCAGAAUUCUUGCAUUUAAGGAGUUCAUAUCCCAGUGGCGGGAGAUAGACGAUACACAUAUAAAUAAGGGAAUGCCCAAUAUGCUAAAGGUGAUAAAGACUAUCAGGAAAAAUAAAUUGUGUAGGGGGUUUGUAAAUGCUGCAGGAGGAUGAUAAAUUUACACAGGGAGAUCAGAGAAGACCUCACUGGGAAGAGUGAUAUGAACAGAGACCUGAAGGCGGGGAGAGAGUCAGUCAUAUGGAUAUUUGGAGGAAGAGAAUUCCUGGCACCAGAAGCAGCAAAUGCAAGGGCCCUGAGGCUGGAACAUGUUUGGCCUGCUGCAGAACAGCAAGAGCACCAGUGAAGCCAGAGCUGAGUGUGCUAGAGGGAGAAGGGCGAGCAGACGCCAGAGAAAUGGGGACUUGGGGAAGGAGUGCAUUCUAUGUCAGGGCUUUUAGGUCAUUGCAAAGUCUUCCUGUACAAGAAUGCUGGGAAGGUGGUCAGAGUCUUCACACAUUUCUAUUGCAGCUAUUUGUUCUUUUAUUCAACUUAUAUUCAUCACAGCAGCCACUCUGUGCCAGACAGCAUUCUCAUCCCUGUGCCAUAGACACGCACAGAGAUGAGAAUCGCCUCUGCUCUCAAAGAGCUCAAAAUCAAGUAGGGUUAGAUAGCAAUUAAUCAAAUAAACACAUAAAAACAAGACCACUGCUUGGAAGGGUGAUAGGGAGAACUGAUGUGGUCUGGCUAUCCAGGAAGUUGCCUUGAGGAAGGGACAGUGGAGUGCAGGUCUAGGUGUUAGGUAGGUGGGAGCACAGCCCCUUUGAGAAGCUCUGCAAAGGCCAGGGUGGUGAGAAGGUGGAAGCGAGGGGGAGCCGGGUGGGAGCAUGAGGGCUGGAGUGGUGGGCAAUGAAUGGCUGGGUCUCACAAUGAGUGGCUUGUGGGCUGGGCCAAGACCCUCUUUCCCUUCUCCUGAGAGCAAGGAAAUCUCAGGAGUAGAUAAUGGCAUAAUCACAUUUGCAGUUGGAAGAAUUCACUGGCUGCCCUGAUGAAGAGGGAAUUGGAGUGAAUUUGAGGUCACCAGUGAAGAAGGUAUUACAAUUAUCAAGUUGAGGAAUUAUAGUUACUUUGAUAAGAGUGGAGACAGAGAGGCUGAACCGAGGUAGGUAGACCCUAGAAAUAUUUUGCAGGUAGGAUUGGGAGAACUUGGUAGAAGACUAGCCAUGGGGAUUAAGGAAGAAGCAGCUCAAAAAAGCCUCUGAAGUUUGGGAUUUGUGUCCCCAGAAGAAGGGCGGCCAGGAUGUUGGCAGGAGGGUUGGAACCUUGACAGUUGCCAUUGCUGUGAUCUGCCAGAACAGGGCCCCUGGAAGGUAAGGACCACGGCUAGUUCCCUGUGAUGCUCCUCGCCCUGCAACUGGCUCACACAGCAGGUGCUAGAUCUCUGCAGCGGUGACAGACCCUUCAAGCCAGUCCUCCUCCAAAAAGUCAGGAGAGAAACUGAAAAACAAAAGGAAUUGGUCAAAGUAACAUGAGAUAAAAAUUCUAUUUGGAAAUGGUGAGCACGAAGCUUAAAUGUCUGUGGGGUUUCUUCAAUGAGCUUUGCAAAAGUAGCUCAUGAUUUACUCAUCAGUUUCUCGAGGUGACUUUUGGCUGCCCUGGUUCAACUCCUCCUUUCCCCAUGCCCUUCUCUUCCUCUCUUCUCCAGGAUCCUCCCUCCAUUCCCUUUUAGAGGUCCCAUUGAAAAGGACCCUCAGAGCUCCUUUCUACUUCAAGGCCAGUGCACAUGCUGCCUGCUUGACUGGGAAACCUCCCCUCUCCACCACACUGCACAUCCAUAGCUCUUCUCUCAGUUAACUUCCUUUUGUCCUUGCCUGCCAGUUGUCACCUGCUCAGAUAGCUUCCUUGAUUCCCUUAUUUGUGUCAUUCAUUCUCAAAGCAUCCUGCAGUUUCCCACUGUGGCACUUUUCAUGGCAAUCAUUAAUUACUUAUUCUUAUUAUUUUUCUCUGCCUCUCAGUAGUUUAUAAUCUCUUGUGCUUAGGAUCAUGCUAGCAUAUAGAUGUGUCCAACGAAUGGUUGCUUACAAUGGUUAGGGAAUGAAUAAAUGGGUCUGGGUUGUGCAGUCUUAGGGUUGAUGCAGCCACCAACCAACUUAAAUCAUCCAAUGGUGUUUUAGAAAGAACAGCUUCUGCUUUACAUCUCCUAAGCAUAUCUGCAUUUUAUGAGACAAAAUACACUUUAGACAAAAGGAAUGUACCUCUUGUAAUGGAGAAAAUAUUUUAAAGUAUUAAAUGCUUGUGGUUUUCAUUCAGUGCCUCCAUAAAUCAUAUACCCUACAGUCAUUCCACCAUUAUUGCUCCAGUGAAGGGUGAAUGCCACCUUGAGAAGGAAUACGAUAUGGGGCAGGAGAAGCUCAAGCCAGAUGAGGAGAUGGGAAGCCACUUCCUGGCCUGGCAGCAGCAGAGAAGAAAAUGAAGGGCACAAAUAUGUAAGGGAAGCAGGCAACGUGCCACAGGUGUUCUGACUGUCCCUGCAGGGAACCCAUGCCAAGGCCACAGUCUCCAUAUCACAAAGAAAAUAAAAACAGCAUUAAAGCUGGCCUUUCUAUGUCGAAAGCCUGAUUAUGGAGGAAGCAUGGUCCUGUUGGCGAGGCUGCAUGCUGCCGGUCAGCGGAUCCCAGGAAGGCGAUUAUCUAGACACACAAGACUUUUCUGAACAAUCUGGGAAGAGAAGAGAGGCCUCAAAGACACACUUGAAAGGUGAUUGGAGAGGUGGAAGGCAUCAGCCCUGUGAGGGAGAUCAUUGCAGCGUUUCCACAGUUACAGGCCUGGCUGUGAGACAGUUCUUUGUAUAAAACCCACACAAAUCGACACUGGAGCCUGAAAGUCCCUGCACGAGCUAUUGAGAUACUUCCGCACUUUAGCAAAACCUUGAGGGGAAAAUGGUUCUGCGUCUCACAUUGCUAAGGAAUUCGCAAUAGGGCAUCUCUGAGCUUCUCCUCUCCUGUGUCUGCCUCAUCUCUCUCCCUGUCUAGCCCAUCCUCGGAAGAAUCAGAGCAGGAACUGUUCAUGGGUGAGGAUCAAGCUCUAUGUGCCAGGCUCUGAGCUGGGAGCUCUCAGACAUUGCCCCUUUCCAAUCUCAAGUCAACCAAACCAAGGAAGAAAUAGAGAUUCAGAAACAAAAAAGGCCGCUUCAGGAUUUGAACCUGGGACUCUCUACCUCCAAUGCCCUAGUUCUUUCCACUAAGAAAACCUUAAGAUCCCAACACCCCCUUUCCCUCCUGUCUCUGCCAGCAUCUCAACUCCAGCACAAGGAGCACUCUCAAACCCCUUCUGGAACAUUCCUUAAACCAUAUUGCCCAUGGCCUUUACCUGGGAUCCUCUCCUCCUAUCUCUCUUGUCCUGUGCAUGGCCUUCCAUAGCUCUGGGAAACUUGCUCUCUCAUCUUUCCUGGGGGGCAUCCUGCCUGGUUCUAUGGUUCAAUGUGUGCAUAUCUGUUCCCUGGCCCAGUUACUUCCCAGAGCACAUCUGCAGUGACACCCCAUUUCCCACAAUUCUCGUUACACUGUUACACUUGGCCCAGUGUAAAAAUGGAUUGGUUCUGGCCCCAGUUCUAGUAUUUGUCAACUCUGUGAUCUUUGGCUGGUGAUCCGAUGUUUCCUGGCCUUGCUUUCCUCAUUUUGAUGGAGCUAACAAUCCCUAUCCUAACAGAGGUCUUUGAUGAAAACGAGAAUAAUAAAUUGAAAACAAUGCCUCAAACUUGUAAAAUUAGUUUUGUCAUUAUCAAUAUUUACGCCUUACAUUUUCCUCUAGCACAUUUUGCCCUUUGAAUGCCCUCCUGAAAAGGAUGUAGGAAAAAGUAUUUUCCCAAUUUUGAUAGACGGGAAAACAAGAAGCUAUAAAAGUGGAGUGAUUUACUUAAGGGAAAAAGAAAAAAAA